CAUUAGAUUACUUAAAUGCAAGUGUUGGUCUCUUAAACCAAAUUAUAGUAGAAAAAGCGAAUACUUCUAAUGG
Molecule: transfer RNA, 73 nt
Filed under: Japanagallia malaisei
Lineage: Eukaryota; Metazoa; Arthropoda; Insecta; Hemiptera; Cicadellidae
Description: tRNA-Lys
Source: RNAcentral